RNAcentral lists this ribosomal RNA (190 nucleotides) under Listeria monocytogenes. RNAcentral's name for it is "partial 16S ribosomal RNA". It matches the Rfam family "Bacterial small subunit ribosomal RNA", at positions 1 to 185 of the family's 1533-position model. The record is from RNAcentral. Lineage: Bacteria; Bacillati; Bacillota; Bacilli; Caryophanales; Listeriaceae.
UUUAAAGAGAGUUUGAUCCUGGCUCAGGACGAACGCUGGCGGCGUGCCUAAUACAUGCAAGUCGAACGAACGGAGGAAGAGCUUGCUCUUCCAAAGUUAGUGGCGGACGGGUGAGUAACACGUGGGCAACCUGCCUGUAAGUUGGGGAUAACUCCGGGAAACCGGGGCUAAUACCGAAUGAUAAAGUUUG